Cavia porcellus (domestic guinea pig) is the source of this 4714-nucleotide long non-coding RNA. RefSeq lists it as uncharacterized. The record is from RefSeq and is a predicted model, not a curated record. Lineage: Eukaryota; Metazoa; Chordata; Mammalia; Rodentia; Caviidae. The transcript has 4 exons.
UGAUAAUUUGCCAUGGAUUUUAGCAACCUCAGUAUAUGGCUUCUGUCUUUGCUUCUUGAACACUUUCACAUUUUCAUUUAAAAAGACUACUUUCUGACUUCUCUUUGGUCUAUCCAAGUUUCCAGCAUCACUUGUUACUCUCAUGCUUUGAGGCCUUCACUAAGUAUAAUAAAAGUUUCUUGAACGUAAGCACUGUGGUACUAUGACAGUCAAUCUGACAAUAUAGAUGAGGACCAAAUAACUGAUGCCUGGGAAUGUACGUAGCAUUUGUAAUUAAGUGGGUCUGGAGUGUCCCCCAAACACUCCAUGUUAAAGGCUUUGUCUACAGCUGCUGGUGCUACUUGGAGGUGGAGGAAAUUUUAGGUGGUAGGGGCAGCUGGAAGAGAUGAGUCUCUGGGGCCAGGCCAUGAAGGAUAUCUCUCAUGCACAAGCCCUUCAGUGGUAGCUCUCUUCUUCUGCUUCCUGGCUGCCACAAGGUGAGCAGAUUUCUUCCUCCGUUCCUUUCUGUCAGGACUCUUCUGCUUCACCACAGGCUUCACAGCAGUAAGUCAGUCCACCAUGGGUCGAACUCUCUGAACUUUCUGACACCAUCAGCCAAAAUAAGCCUCUCCUCCUUUUAAGUUGUUUAUGUCAGUAUUUUAUCACAGUGAUGCGCUGGCUAACAGAGGGAUAAAUCACAUCCCAUGUGAGGUGAAGCAGCUACUCAGAAUGCUUUAAAUUAAAAACCUGUGAAAUGUUUACUUCUACACUUUUCUGUUUGAUACUUGCAGACCAUAGUUGACCAUGAGUAACUGAAAUCUUAGGAAGCAAAACCAGAGAACAGUUGUGACUGCUGUGCAUGAAAGUGAAAGAGGACUAGAGGAUGUCACACCAUGUGGGCCCCUUUGCUCUGUAGGGCAUGCUAUUGUUGUUAAUCUUGUGCUAUGCUUGACUAAAUUAAACUUUCUCAGAGAUGCUGUGUAUAAGAACAAAUCAUCAUAUAAGCAGGACUUUGUGCUCUCCACAAUUCUGAUCAUCCACAGGACUCUUGGAAUGUGUCCUUCAUGGAUAAAGGAGGGCUCCUAUCUCUGCUAUGGCUUCAUCUGCUGGUCCUAUCUUCCUCACCUUUCCAGAGCCCACCGUGUUUCUAUCAUUUUGAAUUCCCAGGCCUCUCUGGGUUGAGCACAGUGUCACUCAGGUUGUCUCAAUGGUCAUCUGUGCUGAGAGACAUGGUCCUCUCCACCUGCACACUUCUGGGUGGAAUUUCAAACUCCUUUCCUGAUGUUCUCUCUGGUCUGCUCACUCAGAGCCUCCCUAUGUACUGGGGUGCAUCUUUGUUGGUGGAAAAAGCCACUUACAUUUCUAGAAAUUGCCAGAGGAAAAGACUGUAUUCUUGUUGCUGUGGCCUAUGAUUCAGUCAAUGUACCAUGUUGAAUGAAUGAAGGACAGAUUUAAUGCCCUGCAAUCACUGACAGGGAGGGAUCUUCAAGAGUUUGCAGUGAUCUAGGGAAGUUUUGACCUCACAAGUUAAUUUGCUGGUGUGUGCCAGAUGCUGUCUUGAUUCUUGGGAAACAUUCAAAUAAGAUUAAAGUUUUCUUAGUCAUCGAUGAGAAGGUAAAUUCUGGGCAGAGGUAAUGAAACAAAACUACAAAAGUAAAUGUGUACUUAAGGAAGAAAAGAGUCAGCCUUUCAUAUCUGUUCUUCCAUAUUUGCAGAUUCAGUCAAAUGCAAAUUGAAAAUAUUUGGAAAAUAUUGUCUGUAUUGAACAAUGUGUAAGUUUCUCUUGUCAUUAUUCCUUAAGCAACACAAUAUAAAAGCUAUUUACAUAGCAUUUACAUUGAAUUAGGUAUUAUACCUCAUCUAGAUGUGAUUUUAAAUCUAUGGAAAGAUGUGUGAGUAUUACAUGCAGAUACAACACCAUGUUUUACAAGAAAUGAGCAUCUCAAUUUUGGUGUCCUCAGAGAGCCCUGGAACCAAUCUCUGAUAGGUACUUAGGAUAAAAGUAAUUUGGACACAAUCUUUAUUGACUGGGGACCUCCUUUACCAUUUUACUCCUACGUGGAGCACUAUAUCAAGUUCUGGUAAUGUUGGGUUGAAUCUCUGAAGUUUUCUGCCUUCAGAAGUAGCAGUUUCCUGAGAGAAGACAGAUAUACUUGCUGCAGUACACAAGAGGAAUUGGGGCCAGAAGGUAGGACCCAAACAAGGUAAUGCUGAGGCUGGUGGGUGUCAGCUGGAGAGCGUGGAGCCUGAGAGGUAGCAGGAACUGAAGGCAGGUAGGAGGAGGAACUCUUGGACUUGUAUCUGAGAUAUGAAAGGUAAGUAAAAUCUACCUUUCCUGAAUUUUCCUGAUUGUUCUCAGUGAAAGUGUAGACUCUGAUUGUAGGAAUGUGACUUUGGAGAUGAAGCUCACCUCUGUGCCUCUGUGACUAUGUGAGACUGCAGUCCAGGUAGUGGGAAGUGGGUGUUUGCACCUCAGCAAGGGCCAGGGCAUCUUCAUCUCCUCCAACAGUGCAUGCCAUAACUACAGGGUGCUUGGAAGGGUCAGAUUAAAGACGGGACCUUUCGAUGGGGAGUUGAGUAAAAUGGGGUCAUGCCAGUGGUCACCAAUCCAACAAGACUGAUGUCUUUGUAGGAAGAAUUGGGACCCAGACAGAUACAGAGGGGUGACUAUAUGGUGACACAGGGAAUGACAGCCUCUGCAGGACAAGGAGUAUGGCCUCAGGAGAGACCAGGCCUGCCCACACCUUGACCUAGGACUUGCAGCCUUCAGGCCAGUGAGGAAUGCUCUUCCACUGUUGAGCCACCCAGAUGUGGUCUAUGUUAUGGCAGCCUGAGCUGCCACACAUCAGGUAAUGAAAGGCUAUGACAGAGGCGAGAGUGAUGGAGAAAAUAUGACAUUUUAAAGAGACAAGACCAUGUUUCAGGACUUAAGACCUUUCCUGGUAUUUAAGGAAAGUGGUUUUGGCUUCCAAAGAAAGGAACCUGGAGCUCAGUGGGUGAAAUAAGAACUCGCCAUGGAUGUCCUUCACAAGAACUCAUAGCUCUUGUCACUAGUAUCUGGAGCCUAGACUCUAGGGUUUACAGCUUUAAAAAUAUCCCUCAUCUAUUUUCUGCAUUUCAUUUUCUUCCAUGGCUUUGUACAGGAAGAGUGAGCAGAACAGCAGCGAUAACACCAGAUCGUGUUUUACCAGCUGAGUCCAGAAGAAGAAAGGAGGCUGAACCGUUCUGACCAGAGACCCUUCUGCUGCUCUGGCUCUACAUCUGAAACCUGGGACCAGUGGAGACUGAAGGACACAGCCCCAGUGUGCCAAGGGCCAGACACGAUGCACAGAGCAUUUCCAAAGCAACCUACUCAGGAGGAAGGAAGCCCUGCUUGUGCACUCUACCACCUAGUGAGCACCAAGUCACAUACCCAUGCUGCUCUGGUGGAGGUGGAGGCAGUGUCCUGUAGCUAAGACGUCUGUUUAAUUGCCAGGCAAGCCAGAGUUUGCAUGCUACCUGGCAGGAGCUCCAAGACAAUCUUCAUCACCUGGAACCAUUCUGAGAGGGAAAGAAGAAGGGGCAGAUGCUGAAGAAAUUCCAGGAGCUUCUAAUGAAUUAAAGCUGCACUUGCCUGAAGAAGCCAGCCAAGUUACUGACUAGUUUGCAAAUAAUUAUGUGCAUGGAAGGAUAAGAAGAUAUGCAAUCAUGUUGCUUUUCAGUCACCACUAUUAUUUCUGCCAAAUUUGUUGUCUGUAUAUGAAUGCAUGAGAAAUUAAUUUCUGAAUGCUCAAAUUUACAUAGAAACAUAGCAUGGAAGAUGGGAAAAUUUAAAAGGAAAUUCACAUGUUCAUGUAUACCUAAUUAGAAUAACUGCAAAAAAGAGCAAUGUCACACAGGAAAUGAAUGUGAAUGUGUUCCCUGAAGAGAGCUUUGCCUUAAAAAGAAAAAGAAAAGCAGUUAUUCAUUGUCAUGCAAGACUUCAAAGUAGAGUCAAUGAUUAAAAGUUGCCACUGCCCACAAUCUAGCCUUGUAAUACAUUCUUUUUUAUUUUUUUCUGUCUUUUUCAGUACCAGGGAUCGAACUCAAGACUGCCUGCUUGCAAGGCAGGUGCUUAUGCCGCUGAGCUAAAUCCCCAGCCCCUUACAUUCUUUUUUUUUUUUUACAUCAAAUGUUCUUUUUAGCAAAUUUUCUUUUGUUUGUUGAGAAGAGAACUUAUUUUUCUUUUUCUUUGAAUAAUUAUUUUUCUUUUAAUAAUUAAUUUCCAUCUUGACAUCAUUUCCCAUGUUGAAGGUAUAAACUAAAGAUUUUAGAGACUUCCAGUUCUUUUUAAUAUUCUUCACAAAUUUGACUCUGAAAGUACUUUAUUGCUAUAUUGAUUGUAUGGGGCACUGCAUGCAUACAAACCUUGCAUCUUCUUCAGUACAUAAAGAGAUAUACUGUUUGCGUAACUCCUUUUGUGAGAGACAGACAAUACUUCUGGAGAUCAUACUUUGGGGUGAAAUCUUUGCAUAUGUGAUAGUAAUCAACAAUGGUUUGUGAUUACUCUUGUUGAAAGACUAAGAUUAUUCAUCAUACUAUUCCAUAGGAGCUGGCUGCAAAGCUGGAUUUUCACAGUGGCCAAGCAGAAUGAAGUUCUACAUUUUUCUUUUUGAUCUAUUUGCAAAAUAAGCAGUUUGUGAUGAUUGUUGUGUUUAUGCUUGUAGAAAUAUAUAUCAUUGUUUCUUAUUUUAUUGUGUAGAGUGGCUUAUGAAGU